This 910-nucleotide ribosomal RNA is filed under the name Micrococcus sp. Its description in RNAcentral is "bacterial SSU rRNA". It matches the Rfam family "Bacterial small subunit ribosomal RNA", at positions 535 to 1441 of the family's 1533-position model. Lineage: Bacteria; Bacillati; Actinomycetota; Actinomycetes; Micrococcales; Micrococcaceae. The record is from RNAcentral.
CGAGCGUUAUCCGGAAUUAUUGGGCGUAAAGAGCUCGUAGGCGGUUUGUCGCGUCUGUCGUGAAAGUCCGGGGCUUAACCCCGGAUCUGCGGUGGGUACGGGCAGACUAGAGUGCAGUAGGGGAGACUGGAAUUCCUGGUGUAGCGGUGGAAUGCGCAGAUAUCAGGAGGAACACCGAUGGCGAAGGCAGGUCUCUGGGCUGUAACUGACGCUGAGGAGCGAAAGCAUGGGGAGCGAACAGGAUUAGAUACCCUGGUAGUCCAUGCCGUAAACGUUGGGCACUAGGUGUGGGGACCAUUCCACGGUUUCCGCGCCGCAGCUAACGCAUUAAGUGCCCCGCCUGGGGAGUACGGCCGCAAGGCUAAAACUCAAAGGAAUUGACGGGGGCCCGCACAAGCGGCGGAGCAUGCGGAUUAAUUCGAUGCAACGCGAAGAACCUUACCAAGGCUUGACAUGUUCUCGAUCGCCGUAGAGAUACGGUUUCCCCUUUGGGGCGGGUUCACAGGUGGUGCAUGGUUGUCGUCAGCUCGUGUCGUGAGAUGUUGGGUUAAGUCCCGCAACGAGCGCAACCCUCGUUCCAUGUUGCCAGCACGUAAUGGUGGGGACUCAUGGGAGACUGCCGGGGUCAACUCGGAGGAAGGUGAGGACGACGUCAAAUCAUCAUGCCCCUUAUGUCUUGGGCUUCACGCAUGCUACAAUGGCCGGUACAAUGGGUUGCGAUACUGUGAGGUGGAGCUAAUCCCAAAAAGCCGGUCUCAGUUCGGAUUGGGGUCUGCAACUCGACCCCAUGAAGUCGGAGUCGCUAGUAAUCGCAGAUCAGCAACGCUGCGGUGAAUACGUUCCCGGGCCUUGUACACACCGCCCGUCAAGUCACGAAAGUUGGUAACACCCGAAGCCGGUGGCCUAACCC